RNAcentral lists this ribosomal RNA (195 nucleotides) under Triticum aestivum (bread wheat). RNAcentral describes it as "partial small subunit ribosomal RNA". Lineage: Eukaryota; Viridiplantae; Streptophyta; Magnoliopsida; Poales; Poaceae. The record is from RNAcentral.
AUGUCCAUGAUUGUUUAUUUCCGUGCAGAGAAUUGCCAGAAAGGAGCUUAUAGGCAGCCAUUUUGUUUCGACGCUUGGUGCAAGGGGCUUUGCUGGACGAAGGCGGCUCUCGUCGAGGGCGGCCAUGUCAAAGACGCCUGGUGUUACAAAACACCAUUGGAUGCCAUUUGUAUUUGUUUGUUCUGCAGGAAAUGA